RNAcentral lists this ribosomal RNA (492 nucleotides) under uncultured bacterium. RNAcentral describes it as "partial 16S ribosomal RNA". It matches the Rfam family "Bacterial small subunit ribosomal RNA", at positions 29 to 507 of the family's 1533-position model. The record is from RNAcentral.
AGUGAACGCUGGCGGUAGGCCUAACACAUGCAAGUCGAACGGCAGCACAGUAAGAGCUUGCUCUUACGGGUGGCGAGUGGCGGACGGGUGAGGAAUACAUCGGAAUCUGCCUUUUCGUGGGGGAUAACGUAGGGAAACUUACGCUAAUACCGCAUACGACCUACGGGUGAAAGCAGGGGAUCUUCGGACCUUGCGCGAUUGAAUGAGCCGAUGUCGGAUUAGCUAGUUGGCGGGGUAAAGGCCCACCAAGGCGACGAUCCGUAGCUGGUCUGAGAGGAUGAUCAGCCACACUGGAACUGAGACACGGUCCAGACUCCUACGGGAGGCAGCAGUGGGGAAUAUUGGACAAUGGGCGCAAGCCUGAUCCAGCCAUACCGCGUGGGUGAAGAAGGCCUUCGGGUUGUAAAGCCCUUUUGUUGGGAAAGAAAAGCAGCAGGUUAAUACCCCGCUGCUCUGACGGUACCCAAAGAAUAAGCACCGGCUAACUUCGUG